GCUUCCAUGGCCAAGUUGGUAAGGCGCCACACUAGUAAUGUGGAGAUCAUCAGUUCGAGUCUGGUUGGAAGCA
This 73-nucleotide transfer RNA is filed under the name Zygosaccharomyces mellis. RNAcentral's name for it is "tRNA-Thr". It matches the Rfam family "tRNA". From Rfam's summary of the family: Transfer RNA (tRNA) molecules are approximately 80 nucleotides in length. Their secondary structure includes four short double-helical elements and three loops (D, anti-codon, and T loops). Further hydrogen bonds mediate the characteristic L-shaped molecular structure. tRNAs have two regions of fundamental functional importance: the anti-codon, which is responsible for specific mRNA codon recognition, and the 3' end, to which the tRNAs corresponding amino acid is attached (by aminoacyl-tRNA synthetases). tRNAs cope with the degeneracy of the genetic code in two manners: having more than one tRNA (with a specific anti-codon) for a particular amino acid; and 'wobble' base-pairing, i.e. permitting non-standard base-pairing at the 3rd anti-codon position. The record is from RNAcentral. Lineage: Eukaryota; Fungi; Ascomycota; Saccharomycetes; Saccharomycetales; Saccharomycetaceae.